GCCCGCGGGUCCCCGAGCCCCGGGGCACCUGCCCCUCCCAGCCCGGCCCGCUGGAAGGCCGCGGUGGGCGCCAGGACAGGACCGGCCCUGGGGAGACCCGGCCCACGACCCGUGGGCACCGAAGGUGCCAUUUGCCAUCCGAAAAGAGGAUGCCGUCCGAGUUUUGAUCAAUGGCAUUUCCAUGCUCCCGGCAGACCACCCACCUGACCAUCUGUCCUUGUUCCUCUUGAAGCCAGGUUGAAGCUGCCCAGCACCCAGAAACUUUCUGAAUAGCUUGUGCUGUCCUAUCUUGUUUGUAACUCCAAUGCUUUGAACAAAAUUAGAGAUGACUCCUGCACAUACCAGGGAAUUUCUGUGUUUAACUGUUUAUACAACCAUUCCGCAAAGAGCAGAUACCAACUCAGUGCUAGACAUCAUCCUAGACUCGACAUGGGGCGCACGACCAAAAGAGAAAGAGGACACUUGCUGACGUCAAGCCUAUAAAGGAAACAGACAAACAUA
This is a non-coding RNA of Microcebus murinus (gray mouse lemur), 501 nucleotides long. The record is from RefSeq and is a predicted model, not a curated record. NCBI's taxonomy places the organism in Eukaryota, Metazoa, Chordata, Mammalia, Primates, Cheirogaleidae.